CCCUUCGGGGCGGCGGCCGGCCCUGGGUGGGAAAUCGCCCGGGAAAACGUCACUCGGGUGGGUGAUUGACGGCAACUGCCGCAGCACUGUGUGCUGUUCCGUGUCCGAAGCGUGAGCUUCCCAAACGUGAGUCGGCCCCCGUCGGUGCAACAACACCGAUGCGAGGGCCUGACCAUCAACGAGAGGCUAACCCCCCUCG
Molecule: non-coding RNA, 199 nt
Filed under: Embleya scabrispora
Lineage: Bacteria; Bacillati; Actinomycetota; Actinomycetes; Kitasatosporales; Streptomycetaceae
Description: Streptomyces scabrisporus Streptomyces sRNA 4677
Rfam family: Streptomyces sRNA 4677
About the family: Located in the intergenic region between anti-sigma factor SCO4677 gene and a putative regulatory protein gene SCO4676. scr4677 expression requires the SCO4677 activity and scr4677 sRNA itself seem to affect the levels of the SCO4676-associated transcripts.
Source: Rfam by way of RNAcentral